AACGAACGCUGGCGGCAUGCCUAACACAUGCAAGUCGAACGAGACCUUCGGGUCUAGUGGCGCACGGGUGCGUAACGCGUGGGAAUCUGCCCUUGGGUUCGGAAUAACAGUGAGAAAUUACUGCUAAUACCGGAUGAUGACGAAAGUCCAAAGAUUUAUCGCCCAAGGAUGAGCCCGCGUAGGAUUAGCUAGUUAGUAAG
This 200-nucleotide ribosomal RNA is filed under the name uncultured bacterium. Its description in RNAcentral is "partial 16S ribosomal RNA". It matches the Rfam family "Bacterial small subunit ribosomal RNA", at positions 29 to 256 of the family's 1533-position model. The record is from RNAcentral.